ACCACUCUGAUUUCAUCCCCAUUUGCAGAAGCUCCUGAAGAUUCUGAUCCCACGAAGCCCAGACCUUCACCUGGUGAGUAACUGCUGAUCUUUGUAGAAGGAAAACACAGGCACAGGGAAUAGCAGGUGUAAAAGGCUUGAAGUAGACAGAAACUUCACCUGCCCACAGAGUGUCCAGGAGACCAUUCCUGUUUGCUGAGUCCAUGGCUUAAUUAGAGGGCAAUAGCAAGGAAAGAGCAGGAAGGGCUCCAGUGGAGCAGGCUGGAGGCACCGUCUCACUGCUCCUGUCUUUCUUGACCCCAGAAUUCCCUGGUGGGAUCACCACCGCACCCACAAUGACAGGAGGAAAGAAAGAGCCUGCUGCUUGGCAUCCUUCUGCAGAGAAUCAAGUCCGGCUGAGCCUAGCUGGCCUGAUUCUCUUGGUCCUGGGGGUCCUGUUGGCUGAGGCCUGCUACAGCUGGAAGAUGCCCUUAAAUGGAA
Ceratotherium simum simum (southern white rhinoceros) is the source of this 480-nucleotide non-coding RNA. The record is from RefSeq and is a predicted model, not a curated record. Lineage: Eukaryota; Metazoa; Chordata; Mammalia; Perissodactyla; Rhinocerotidae.